UUCGCACAAUUGGUCAUCGCGCU
This 23-nucleotide small nuclear RNA is filed under the name Arabidopsis thaliana (thale cress). RNAcentral describes it as "snRNA_11667". The record is from RNAcentral. Lineage: Eukaryota; Viridiplantae; Streptophyta; Magnoliopsida; Brassicales; Brassicaceae.